This 3850-nucleotide long non-coding RNA is filed under the name Manihot esculenta (cassava). RNAcentral's name for it is "long non-coding RNA (MESC_LNC007516)". The record is from RNAcentral. Lineage: Eukaryota; Viridiplantae; Streptophyta; Magnoliopsida; Malpighiales; Euphorbiaceae.
AAGAGGAUCCAGCUUCCAGGAUAGACAAUAGGGGUGCUCCUGCGACCUAGGUCUUUUCGUCUCCAGUAUUGUGAGUGGAUAAAUAUAUAACAUUGAUAUUUUUCUUAAAUAUAUUAUCGAUUGAAUAGUCCAGCUAUCAGUUUUCUCUUAUAAGCUUAAUAUUUUGAAAUUAUAGCAGAUUAUAUGUAUUUAUAUGUGUAAAUAUUAGGGGAAACUCUGUCAGUUUUUCGAGUCAUAUCCAUCUCUACAGUUUAGAGAAUGGGUGUGACAGAACAAAUUUACACAUAAUCUAAUCAUGAGCAUUAGCUACUUUAGUCAAAAUUACGAAUUAUUUAAGAGGUAUCAUGAGUUAUAAUAUUCUAUAUAGUGGAUGUCCCAUUAUUUUAGAAGAAUACAGUGAUUUUAAUUCGAAUUUAGAUUCAAAUAAGAUAAACUUCGCUGAUGAUUAUGCAUUUAAUCUAGAUGGUGGUGCAAUUAUUUAGAAAUCAACUAUUAUUAUCAAAACCAUCAUAGAAGCGGGGUUUAUUGCUCUGGAAGUAGACGAUAAUGAGGUUUGAGUGGCUAAAAAAUUUCUUAGCAAAUACUAUAUUGAGAAUAAAAUCAAUAUCAUUCGUGUAUUGUGAUUGCCAAAUGACAAUAAUAAUUGUAAAGAAUAAAACUUUUAAUAGUAAAAAUAGAUAUAUUCAUCUAAGAAAUAAUAUGGUAAGGCAGCUAUUGAGAAAUGAAAUUAUAUUCAUUAAUUAUAUAUAAUCAGAAGCAAGUUAAUAAAUGAAAUAUCAAGGGAAAUGGAACUUGAGCCAACAUAAAAUUAACAAUGAUAGGAACUCAAUCUUUGUGAUUGGAGACAUGGGUAAUAACAAGUCACUUAUUAAUUCUGCUAGCACUAUUUAAUGUUGUCCUUUCCUAUAAUGUGAGAAGUGCUAGACUACAUUAAUGAGAGGAUGACCUAAAAGCUAUUAAUGAUAUUCAUACUCCUUAUGGGUGGUAUAUAAAUUGCAGUAUACACUUAAUAUAUCACCUAUAUAAGUGUGGAGUGGGGCAGUUUCUAUGAGAUUGUAGCACAAUUUCUAAAACACUUAUGAAUUACCAAGCGUGCGCAUGGCCUAUUAGCGUGAAACAGUAUUGACAACAAGAUCUGUGGAGUGUUAUAAGAUUGAUGGGAUAUUAGUAUACCAAAAAGAAUUUUUGGUUCAUAGAAGCAAAAGUUUCACCAAUUGCUUGGUAUGUUAGUCUUAUUAAUUUAGGUCUGGUUAAUAAUCUAAAAGACACCAAAUUUCAAAUUUAUGCACUAAAUUUUUAAAUCCAAUAAUGAAAAAUCUUUUGAAAUAUAUAGGAUUUAGAUUUCAAAAGAUUUUAUGAUCGUUGAGAAUUUUAUUUAUGAUAUUUUUUUGCUAUUGCAAGUUUAAUAUUUAAAUUUAAUAUUAAAUUUGAUUAUUAUGAUUUUAUGCAGAUUUGAUUAUAUUCUCUCAAAAUUUUUAUAACAGUUUACAACGGUUACUUUUUCCAUUAUAAAUAGCUUGUACCUUCACAAAGAAAGUCAUUCAAAAUUUUAUACAUUAUUCAUUCAUUUCUCUAUGAUUUCGCUAAGUUAUAAAUUAGAGAUAAAUUCUUAUUAUUCUAAUCUUGAAAAUUAAAUUUCAGAAUGAUUUGUUUAAUUAUGGAGGAAUACAAAAUAAAUUAUUAAGGACAAUAUCCAAUACAACUCAGGUUUUAUUAUUUUAUCAUAUUUUUCCAACACACAGAUCCUCUCUUAUUUGUCUAGCUAUUGUUUGAUCCAUCUCCAUGUGUCUAUUUCAUCAUCAUUAUUGUAUUUUGUGGUGGGAAGCACACUAACUCGUAUAAACGGUUUUCCAUGGAUAUUCUCUAAUAGAUGUAACCAUUCUGGUGCAAACUCCAUGCUCAGCAACCAUUUGGCAGCUUCUUAUUACCACUUGCAGACGAUUGUUAAAUUUGAAUCAUACCUAAUUCACUUUAAAAAUUAGCUCCUAUGUUAAUGAUCCAAGAAAAAAAAUUUUAAUUAUAUAUUAACCUCUCAUUAAUAUUCUAAUGAGAGUUUAACAUGCCUAGUAGAAUAGCCCAUUGCUCGUCAUUGAGUUUGUUGCAUUUGUCAUUAUUUUUUAUCCAGUAUCAACAACACCUUCUUUAUUACGUCCUCCUCCAGUCACACCUCUUUUAUUACAUCCUCCUCUAGUCACACGCUUUUGAGUACUGCCACGUGCACCUGAGUUGCCACGAGGCCGAUUACCUCAGUAUUCUGGAUGGCUUAUUAGCUGAAAAUAACUUUUAGUGAUUUUAUCUUUAUACCCUAAAUUUUAAUCACCGGCCCAAAUUAUGAAGCUCAUGGACAUAAAGUUAACUGUCCACCAUUCUUUAUAAUUCUCUCCUUUUAACUGCAUUUUGUCAUUUGAAUUUAGUGUAUAAAAAUAAAAAAAAAUUAUUAUUCCUAAAUUUCAAGAGCUAAUUCAAGAGAAAAGAGCGUUUAAAACACUUAUAAAGACACAUCACCCCUUCCUAAAAUCGAUCUGAAAUUCAACGUGAUCCGUGUCUGAAACACCAGCGAUAUUACGAGUUACGAUGCCGAAGGAUUUUAAGAUCUCAUAUAGACGAAACGUGACCUUAGUAGGAAAUGGAACCCACUUGGGUGGAACAAUGAAAUUGUGGCUUGGCGCAGCUGCCCAGCGUAGCUCCCAAGAGUAUACUGAAGAAACCAUUUGAAAUGCCAAGCCUAGUUACUAUUUCAGGAAGCCAGCAAGGAGUAAAAUCGUAAAGCCGCCAAUCCGAAUGUGAAGUUUUAAGAAAUCUGGUAAUGAGUUCUUUGAGACCAUCAUAUGCCUUUUUAAGGUAUUGGACUCUAUCAUAUGGGAUAUCAAAGGUGGCCUCAGCGUUUUCUGGUAGACUGUCGAGCCAUGGCAAUGGAAGCUUCACGAAACCGAUGAAAGGAAGCAAAUUUGGAUAGAGUUUGGGGAGGCGAUCAAUGUUGCGAGGAGUGGAGAUGAAGGAGAUCUUAUGGCCCUUUUCAGCAAUGACCUUGGCGAGCUCUAAGUAAGGGAUAAUGUGACCAAAGGCUAGCCAGGGAAACAUAGCGACGUGAAGCUUAGACGCUGUCAUGAAUGUGAAUUCUGGAUCACUUUGUAGUAAAAUUACAUAGAAGAUCUAAAAUAAGAAAAGCUCUCAGACAUUAUAUAAAUUCAUAUGAGAAAAGGCGUGGGAAAUUUUUAGGUGAGAAUUUGUUUCUGAUAAUUUUAUUAACUGAAAGGGGAUAUAUAUACAUAUGGAGAUAGCUUUAAAGAAUUCUAGAAGCUACUGGAUCUAUCUACUGAGCUAUUUGUUACAACAGAUUAACAAACUUGCUUCCUGCUGCUGAACACCGUUUUAUCUUAAUUACUGCACAUCGAUUUACAACUUUUCUUUUCUUCUCUGCUAUGCACCAUUUUGUGUCUCUUCACACCCCGCAAGAUGGAGACGAGUUGAUAGACAAAAGUCCAUCUUGGACAGAAGGCGACGGAAUUGAGCAAGCCCUAAAGUUUUGGUGAAGAGAUCUGCUAAUUGUUUCUGAGAAGGAACAUGAAUGGUCCAGAUGAAGCCUUCUUGGAUUUUAUCGCGAACGAUGUGGCAGUUUAUUUCAAGAUGCUUCUUCCAUUCGUGGAAUACUGAAUUUGCUACAAUAUAUUGGGCGGCUUUGUUAUCACAGUGAAGGUGAGUCUUAGAUAACUGAAAUUCUUUUAUCAAAUUAUUGAUCCACUGAAAUUCGCACACUGAAAGCUAUGGUCUGAUAUUCUGCUUCGACCAAAGAUUUGCUAAUAAUGUUUUACUUUUUUUUGGUUUUCCAUGAGAUUGGGACUGAACCGAG